Molecule: unclassified non-coding RNA, 284 nt
Filed under: Hevea brasiliensis (rubber tree)
Lineage: Eukaryota; Viridiplantae; Streptophyta; Magnoliopsida; Malpighiales; Euphorbiaceae
Source: RNAcentral
AAGUUGACAAAUUGUGUCAAGAGAGAGACAGCCAACAACAAUGGAGUCCAUAGCCAUUCUUGAAAAGCCUCAUGCACUAUGCAUUCCUUUUCCGUCUCAAGGUCACAUAAAUCCCAUGCUAAAACUAGCCAAACUCCUCCACCACAACGGCUUCCAUAUUACCUUCCUUCACACCGAGCACACCCACAAACGCCUCCUUCAAUCUAUAGGACCCGACCCUCUCAAUGGCCUACCUUCCUUUCAUUUCCGUACAAUCCCGGACGGCCUCCCUCCGACCAUCACCC